AAAUGCGAUAAGUAAUGUGAAUUGCAGAAUUCAGUGAAUCAUCGAAUCUUUGAACGCACCUUGCGCUCUUUGGUAUUCCUUGGAGCAUGCCUGUUUGAGUAUCAUGAAAUCUUCAAAGUAAAUCUUUUGUUAACUCAAUUGGUUUCUACUUUGGUAUUGGAGGUCUUUGCAGCUUCACACCUGCUCCUCUUUGUUCAUUAGCUGGAUCUCAGUGUUAUGCUUGGUUCCACUCGGCGUGAUAAGUUAUCUAUCGCUGAGGACACUGUAAAAGGUGGCCAAGGUAAUUGCAGAUGAACCGCUUCUAAUAGUCCAUUGACUUGGACAAUACUUUUAUGAUCUGAUCUCAAAUCAGGUAGGACUACCCGCUGAACUUAAGC
RNAcentral lists this unclassified non-coding RNA (377 nucleotides) under plant metagenome. RNAcentral's name for it is "partial contains 5.8S ribosomal RNA, internal transcribed spacer 2, and large subunit ribosomal RNA". The stretch from base 1 to 104 matches the Rfam family "5.8S ribosomal RNA", at positions 51 to 154 of the family's 154-position model. The record is from RNAcentral.